GAACUGGGCUUGAGCAGUGGGAAGGAUUUGGAGAGCGGAGGAAUGAAGGAGAGCAGAGAGGAGAGGCUUGGAGGUGAUGAGAUGAGAGGACAGCUGUUCUCCCCUCACUCAAGGUAGCACUCUGAGGUGUCCAGGAGGCGAUCCACAAAUCAUCCCACUGAGUGUGCUUACAGCCGGUUUCUCCCACCUCAGCCCUGCUGCGAGGAAGGACUAAGAAAAACAGCCUGCAUGGGCCGGGCUUGGAUUUCAAGUUCUCAGAAAAAGUUUGCCAACUCCUGCUCUAGAUUGAUGGUUACAAAGUCUGACAGAGGAUACAGUUACAGGGACAUGGCAAAGCCAGAAAAACGAGGACCGGGAGUCCAGCUUUCAACAAAGCCAAUCUAUUCAAUCUCCAGACUACCCUUUGUACCAAGGACAUUGUUAAGUACCUUCUUAAAGACUGAGUGCAAAAGAGUAUGA
Molecule: long non-coding RNA, 459 nt
Filed under: Homo sapiens (human)
Lineage: Eukaryota; Metazoa; Chordata; Mammalia; Primates; Hominidae
Description: non-protein coding lnc-RPS24-3:11
Source: RNAcentral